CUACGGGAGGCAGCAGUAGGGAAUCUUCGGCAAUGGACGGAAGUCUGACCGAGCAACGCCGCGUGAGUGAAGAAGGUUUUCGGAUCGUAAAGCUCUGUUGUAAGAGAAGAACGAGUGUGAGAGUGGAAAGUUCACACUGUGACGGUAUCUUACCAGAAAGGGACGGCUAACUACGUGCCAGCAGCCGCGGUCACU
Molecule: ribosomal RNA, 195 nt
Filed under: uncultured Streptococcus sp.
Lineage: Bacteria; Bacillati; Bacillota; Bacilli; Lactobacillales; Streptococcaceae
Description: partial 16S ribosomal RNA
Rfam family: Bacterial small subunit ribosomal RNA
Source: RNAcentral